CGCCUCCCGUAAAUGGGAGGCAUGCCUGUCUGAGCGUCAUUUAAAACCAUAACCUUUGGGUUGUAUUGGGACUCGCCCUACGGCGUCUCCUCAAAGUCAUCGUGUCUAAAAGCGUACGAGCUCCAUUAGGACAGAACGUUUGAGGACCCUAAACUCUCUGACUUGACCUCAGAUCAGGUAGGACUACCGCCUGAACUUAA
This 200-nucleotide unclassified non-coding RNA is filed under the name soil metagenome. Its description in RNAcentral is "partial contains 5.8S ribosomal RNA, internal transcribed spacer 2, and large subunit ribosomal RNA". The record is from RNAcentral.